GAGUUGAUCCUGGCUCAGGACGAACGCUGGCGGCGUGCCUAAUACAUGCAAGUCGAACGAACUCUGGUAUUGAUUGGUGCUUGCAUCAUGAUUUACAUUUGAGUGAGUGGCGAACUGGUGAGUAACACGUGGGAAACCUGCCCAGAAGCGGGGGAUAACACCUGGAAACAGAUGCUAAUACCGCAUAACAACUUGGACCGCAUGGUCCGAGUUUGAAAGAUGGCUUCGGCUAUCACUUUUGGAUGGUCCCGCGGCGUAUUAGCUAGAUGGUGGGGUAACGGCUCACCAUGGCAAUGAUACGUAGCCGACCUGAGAGGGUAAUCGGCCACAUUGGGACUGAGACACGGCCCAAACUCCUACGGGAGGCAGCAGUAGGGAAUCUUCCACAAUGGACGAAAGUCUGAUGGAGCAACGCCGCGUGAGUGAAGAAGGGUUUCGGCUCGUAAAACUCUGUUGUUAAAGAAGAACAUAUCUGAGAGUAACUGUUCAGGUAUUGACGGUAUUUAACCAGAAAGCCACGGCUAACUACGUGCCAGCAGCCGCGGUAAUACGUAGGUGGCAAGCGUUGUCCGGAUUUAUUGGGCGUAAAGCGAGCGCAGGCGGUUUUUUAAGUCUGAUGUGAAAGCCUUCGGCUCAACCGAAGAAGUGCAUCGGAAACUGGGAAACUUGAGUGCAGAAGAGGACAGUGGAACUCCAUGUGUAGCGGUGAAAUGCGUAGAUAUAUGGAAGAACACCAGUGGCGAAGGCGGCUGUCUGGUCUGUAACUGACGCUGAGGCUCGAAAGUAUGGGUAGCAAACAGGAUUAGAUACCCUGGUAGUCCAUACCGUAAACGAUGAAUGCUAAGUGUUGGAGGGUUUCCGCCCUUCAGUGCUGCAGCUAACGCAUUAAGCAUUCCGCCUGGGGAGUACGGCCGCAAGGCUGAAACUCAAAGGAAUUGACGGGGGCCCGCACAAGCGGUGGAGCAUGUGGUUUAAUUCGAAGCUACGCGAAGAACCUUACCAGGUCUUGACAUACUAUGCAAAUCUAAGAGAUUAGACGUUCCCUUCGGGGACAUGGAUACAGGUGGUGCAUGGUUGUCGUCAGCUCGUGUCGUGAGAUGUUGGGUUAAGUCCCGCAACGAGCGCAACCCUUAUUAUCAGUUGCCAGCAUUAAGUUGGGCACUCUGGUGAGACUGCCGGUGACAAACCGGAGGAAGGUGGGGAUGACGUCAAAUCAUCAUGCCCCUUAUGACCUGGGCUACACACGUGCUACAAUGGAUGGUACAACGAGUUGCGAACUCGCGAGAGUAAGCUAAUCUCUUAAAGCCAUUCUCAGUUCGGAUUGUAGGCUGCAACUCGCCUGCAUGAAGUCGGAAUCGCUAGUAAUCGCGGAUCAGCAUGCCGCGGUGAAUACGUUCCCGGGCCUUGUACACACCGCCCGUCACACCAUGAGAGUUUGUAACACCCAAAGUCGGUGGGGUAACCUUUUAGGAACCAGCCGCCUAAGGUGGGACAGAUGAUUAGGGUGAAGUCGUAACAAGGUAGCCGUAGAGUUUGAUCCUGGCUUAGACUCUCGUAACAAGGUAGCCGU
RNAcentral lists this ribosomal RNA (1570 nucleotides) under Lactiplantibacillus pentosus. RNAcentral's name for it is "partial 16S ribosomal RNA". It matches the Rfam family "Bacterial small subunit ribosomal RNA". The record is from RNAcentral. Lineage: Bacteria; Bacillati; Bacillota; Bacilli; Lactobacillales; Lactobacillaceae.